This 572-nucleotide ribosomal RNA is filed under the name uncultured fungus. Its description in RNAcentral is "eukaryotic LSU rRNA". The stretch from base 210 to 363 matches the Rfam family "5.8S ribosomal RNA". Lineage: Eukaryota; Fungi. The record is from RNAcentral.
GUCGUAACAAGGUCUCCGUAGGUGAACCUGCGGAGGGAUCAUUACACAAAUAUGAAGGCGGGCUGGAACCUCUCGGGGUUACAGCCUUGCUGAAUUAUUCACCCUUGUCUUUUGCGUACUUCUUGUUUCCUUGGUGGGUUCGCCCACCACUAGGACAAACAUAAACCUUUUGUAAUUGCAAUCAGCGUCAGUAACAAAUUAAUAAUUACAACUUUCAACAACGGAUCUCUUGGUUCUGGUAUCGAUGAAGAACGCAGCGAAAUGCGAUAAGUAGUGUGAAUUGCAGAAUUCAGUGAAUCAUCGAAUCUUUGAACGCACAUUGCGCCCUUUGGUAUUCCAAAGGGCAUGCCUGUUCGAGCGUCAUUUGUACCCUCAAGCUUUGCUUGGUGUUGGGCGUCUUGUCUCUAGCUUUGCUGGAGACUCGCCUUAAAGUAAUUGGCAGCCGGCCUACUGGUUUCGGAGCGCAGCACAAGUCGCACUCUCUAUCAGCAAAGGUCUAGCAUCCAUUAAGCCUUUUUUUCAACUUUUGACCUCGGAUCAGGUAGGGAUACCCGCUGAACUUAAGCAUAUCA